This 78-nucleotide transfer RNA is filed under the name Acidimicrobiales bacterium. Its description in RNAcentral is "tRNA-Pro". It matches the Rfam family "tRNA". From Rfam's summary of the family: Transfer RNA (tRNA) molecules are approximately 80 nucleotides in length. Their secondary structure includes four short double-helical elements and three loops (D, anti-codon, and T loops). Further hydrogen bonds mediate the characteristic L-shaped molecular structure. tRNAs have two regions of fundamental functional importance: the anti-codon, which is responsible for specific mRNA codon recognition, and the 3' end, to which the tRNAs corresponding amino acid is attached (by aminoacyl-tRNA synthetases). tRNAs cope with the degeneracy of the genetic code in two manners: having more than one tRNA (with a specific anti-codon) for a particular amino acid; and 'wobble' base-pairing, i.e. permitting non-standard base-pairing at the 3rd anti-codon position. The record is from RNAcentral. Lineage: Bacteria; Bacillati; Actinomycetota; Acidimicrobiia; Acidimicrobiales. RNAcentral also lists the same sequence under 2 other names.
CGGGCUGUGGCGCAGCUUGGUUAGCGCGCUGCGUUCGGGACGCAGAGGUCCCCGGUUCAAAUCCGGGCAGCCCGACCA